This 437-nucleotide long non-coding RNA is filed under the name Nicotiana tabacum (common tobacco). RNAcentral describes it as "long non-coding RNA (NTAB_LNC001078)". Lineage: Eukaryota; Viridiplantae; Streptophyta; Magnoliopsida; Solanales; Solanaceae. The record is from RNAcentral.
AUAGUACUACUAUCUUCUCCCUCUCCUCCACCGCACACUACUCUCCAACUCCGCCACCCUUCACCACCUCCAUUCUCACCGGAAAACACCACCCCACCGCCACUUCCACUUCCAUUCUCUCCCUCAAGUCCUCCUCUAACGACUCUUCAGAUAAACCCACCACCUCGCACUCCUCCACCAGCCUCCGCCGUCCCACAACCAACAACAACAAAUCCCUUAACACCCCUCUUUCUCAGAAUCUUGAAUUUACUAAAAACCCCUUAAAACUUCUACUUAAUUCUCCUCCUGCCACUUCACCGCCCCCACCAUCCCUCUCUAACAAACUUUGGUUAUCCAAUAAACUCUCACCACCCCCACCCCCACCACCUCCGCCGCCGUUAGCACCUAAUGAGAGUGAUUUGGACUAUUCAGAUGAUGAGGAAAUGCAAAAAAGUAGU